GAUGGAGAACGUAGCGAAAUGCGAUACGUAAUGUGAAUUGCAGAAUUCAGUGAAUCAUCGAAUCUUUGAACGCAUAUUGCGCUCUCUGGUAUUCCGGAGAGCAUGCUUGUUUGAGUAUCAGUAAACACCUCAACUUCCAUAUCUUUUUUGAAAUGGGAGUUGGACUUGAGUGAUCCCAACGCUUUUCCUCACCGAAAAGUGGCGGGUUACUUGAAAUGCAGGUGCAGCUGGACUUUUCUCUGAGCUAUAAGCAUAUCUAUUUAGUCUGCCUAAAAAACAGAUUAUUACCUUUGCUGCAGCUAACAUAAAGGAGAUUAGUUCUUGUGCUGACUGAUGCAGGAUUCACAAAGACAGGCUUCGGCCGACUUUGUAAACUCGAUCUCAAAUCAAGUAAGACUACCCGCUGAACUUAAGCAUAUCAAUAAGCGGAGGA
Molecule: unclassified non-coding RNA, 433 nt
Filed under: soil metagenome
Description: partial contains 5.8S ribosomal RNA, internal transcribed spacer 2, and large subunit ribosomal RNA
Rfam family: 5.8S ribosomal RNA (bases 1-120)
Source: RNAcentral